This 2170-nucleotide long non-coding RNA is filed under the name Malus domestica (apple). RNAcentral describes it as "long non-coding RNA (MDOM_LNC011541)". The record is from RNAcentral. Lineage: Eukaryota; Viridiplantae; Streptophyta; Magnoliopsida; Rosales; Rosaceae.
AUUUAAUAUUGUUAAUUUAACAUAAAUGCUUAUAAAUAUUAUGCAUUCCAUUUUCUCAUAACAAUUCAAAGUAUUCUCAUCUAAUCCAUUCUAGUAAAUAACAACAAAAAAUUAUCAAAAUAACAACAAAUUAAAAUAACAAUUAGAGUGCAAAAAAAUUAAUUUAACAUAAUAUAUUCUUAUAUUACUCAAUAUUAUAGGUUUAUGUUAUAUUUAAUAUUGUUAAUUUAACAUAAAUGCUUAUAAAUAUUAUUCAUUCCAUUUUCUCAUAACAAUUCAAAUUAUUCUCAUCUAAUCCAUUCUAGUAAAUAACAACAAAAAAUUAUCAAAAUAACAACAAAUUAAACUAACAAUUAGAGUGCAAAAAAAAUUAAUUUAACAUAAUAUAUUCUUAAAUUACUCAAUAUUAUAAGUUUAUGUUAUAUUUAAUGUUGUUAAUUUAACAUAAAUGCUUAUAAAUAAUAUUCAUUCCAUUUUCUCAUAACAAUUCAAGUGACAAAAUUAAUUAAUUCGCCCAAAGAUUAAUUAAUUUAACAAAAAUAGUAGAAAUUUAUCUAACUACUUAAGUUACAAUUUUUAAAUAAAUAAACUUGUGUAUUAUACAAUUUAAAAAUUAAAGAAUUUAGUGAUAGAAACCUGAAUUAUAGAAGAAUUCCGUCGUCGAUCAAUUCUUUAUGUACUCAACCAGCUCAAAUAAAUUCCCUACAAAAAUAAAUUGUAUCUAAAAAUUAAACAUAAGAGGAGAAAAUAAAAAAUAUUGCAAGCAAGAAAAACUUACCGUUGUGAAGAAUGAACUUGCAAGAACUCGGGAAGGUGAAAGAGAAGAAUAAAUAAUAAUGGUGAAAGAGAGAGAACACUAGAAGGCUUUGUAAAUGGUGAGAAUGAGAUAAAUGCAAGAGAAGAAGAAGAAAACACGGGGAGGGUAUAUAAAGACCAUCAAUCUGUCGCUUACAACCGCACCGGGUUUCGAAAUAUUUAAAAAAAUAAAAUAUAUGUCGCUCAAAACCGACGCAGGAUUUAAAAUAUAUAAAAACAACAAUUAGUGUCGUUUCUAUAUGCGACACCCAUACUUUAUGUCGCUUAAAAGCGACGCCAGUAUUUAAAAUUAUUAAAAUGUGUGUCGGUUAUAAGCGACAUUAAAUGUUUACGUUGGUUUAAAAGCAACGCAGGCUUUGUAAAUCCGACGUCGUAUUCAGUGGGUGUCGCAACUCUCUUGUGCGCCACUAUAUUAUAUUAAACCGACACAACAACUGACACUAUAAGGCCCUUUUGUAGUAGUGUAAUACCUUGGAGUUAUAAACAACGUACAGUUAAAAAAAUCAUUAAAACAUGUAUGAAAAACAUAUGUAUUUUUGAAAAAUAUGUAUGUAUGUGUAUAAUAUGUAUAUUCUAUACGAAUUUACUAACUAUGCUUUCGAGAGUUAUAUUUGUGGCUAUUAAUAUUCUAUCACAUAUUGAUUUUUCCUAACAGUGAGAAAACAUUUUAUGAAGUCCUUGUAAGAGUAGCAUACAAAUGUGGUAGAGAAAAUACAAUAAGAGUAACAUUUUUGUUACCUUAUUAAGGUGAGCAUUGGUUGUAUUCUUCUGGGCCGCAAAUUUUAAUCUUGGUAUGUCUUUUAUUUUUCUUUCUUGCAUUAUUAACGUGUAAGUGUCAAAAGUGGAUAUGUCUUUCAUUAAUCUUUGGUUUUUGGCUCCAUUGCUUAAUACCAGUGUUCUAAAACUCGGGCUCGGCAGCCGCCUAGAUGGCGCCUAGGCGCUCGACGGCGGCCCACCUCCCUGAUUAUACCAAAAUCGUUCAAUAAGUUAGCCAGACUAUUAAGUGGCACUUAGAAGGCCGCCUAGCCCUCCUAGGCGGCCUCGACAGUCUCUGGGUGGUUCUGCAACUUAAGAAUUAUCGCUGGAAAGGUUGUGUAUCUCCGCCGUCUUGCUGCGAUUUCAUCGUGUCCUUGCGUCUUGUUCCCUCUCUGUGUGUGUAGGAGAGGAGUCGCAUAGAACAUUUGACGAGAGAGCUCUGUAAAAUUGCAAUCUGCAGAGAAGAAGAAUGCGACGGUGCAGAGCUCUGUAAAAUUGCAAUUAGCAGAGGAGAAUGAUGAGACGGCACAUAGGUUAUGUUGUUGGCUAGGGUUAGAGAUAGGAUUUCAAGUGGCUAACAUUCCUUUUAAAAUUAGAG